RNAcentral lists this ribosomal RNA (442 nucleotides) under uncultured bacterium. RNAcentral describes it as "partial 16S ribosomal RNA". It matches the Rfam family "Bacterial small subunit ribosomal RNA", at positions 338 to 795 of the family's 1533-position model. The record is from RNAcentral.
CCUACGGGUGGCAGCAGUGGGGAAUAUUGGGCAAUGGGCGCAAGCCUGACCCAGCAACGCCGCGUGAAGGAAGAAGGCUUUCGGGUUGUAAACGUCGUGUAAGAGGGAAGAGCAGAAGACGGUACCUCUUGAAUAAGCCACGGCUAACGACGUGCCAGCAGCCGCGGUAAUACGUAGGUGGCAAGCGUUGUCCGGAGUUACUGGGUGUAAAGGGCGUGCAGCCGGGAAGACAAGUCAGAUGUGAAAUCCCGCGGCUCAACCGCGGAACUGCAUUUGAAACUGUUUUUCUUGAGUACCGGAGCGGUCAUCGUCAUUCCUUUUGUAGCGGUGUACUGCGUAGCUAUCCGGAAGAACACCAGUGGCGACGGCGGCUGACUGGACGGCAACUGACGGUGCGGCGCGAAAGCGUGGGGAGCAAACCGGCUUCGAUACCCGGGUAGUC